RNAcentral lists this ribosomal RNA (263 nucleotides) under uncultured Oscillospiraceae bacterium. RNAcentral describes it as "partial 16S ribosomal RNA". It matches the Rfam family "Bacterial small subunit ribosomal RNA", at positions 74 to 339 of the family's 1533-position model. Lineage: Bacteria; Bacillati; Bacillota; Clostridia; Eubacteriales; Oscillospiraceae. The record is from RNAcentral.
UUGAUUUUCUCUUUGACUUAGUGGCGGACGGGUGAGUAAUGCGUGAGCAACCUGGCCUUCGAGGGGGACAACAGUUGGAAACGACUGCUAAUACCACAUAUAGCACACGGGAGGCAUCUCCUGUGUAUGAAAGAUUUAUCGCCGAAGGAUGGGCUCACGUCUGAUUAGUUAGUUGGUGAGGUAACGGCUCACCAAGACUGCGAUCAGUAGCCGGACUGAGAGGUUGAACGGCCACAUUGGGACUGAGAUACGGCCCAGACUCC